UUUUGGACAAUGGGGGCAACCCUGAUCCAGCCAUGCCGCGUGAGUGAAGAAGGCCUUCGGGUUGUAAAGCUCUUUCGGACGGAACGAAAUGGGCGGGACUAAUACUCCUGUCUGAUGACGGUACCGUAAGAAGAAGCACCGGCUAACUACGUGCCAGCAGCCGCGGUAAUACGUAGGGUGCGAGCGUUAAUCGGAAUUACUGGGCGUAAAGCAUGCGCAGGCGGUUUCGUAAGCUGGAGGUGAAAUCCCCGGGCUUAACCUGGGAAUGGCCUUCAGGACUGCGAGGCUAGAGUGCGGCAGAGGGAGGUGGAAUUCCACGUGUAGCAGUGAAAUGCGUAGAGAUGUGGAGGGACACCGAUGGCGAAGGCAGCCUCCUGGGCCAGCACUGACGCUCAUGCACGAAG
RNAcentral lists this ribosomal RNA (404 nucleotides) under uncultured bacterium. RNAcentral's name for it is "bacterial SSU rRNA". It matches the Rfam family "Bacterial small subunit ribosomal RNA", at positions 362 to 758 of the family's 1533-position model. The record is from RNAcentral.